UUUACUGCUAUAUCUUUUCCU
Molecule: microRNA, 21 nt
Filed under: Picea abies (Norway spruce)
Lineage: Eukaryota; Viridiplantae; Streptophyta; Pinopsida; Pinales; Pinaceae
Description: pab-miR11425e
Source: miRBase by way of RNAcentral